GAUGAACGCUGGCGGCGUGCCUAAUACAUGCAAGUCGAGCGAACAGACGAGGAGCUUGCUCCUCUGACGUUAGCGGCGGACGGGUGAGUAACACGUGGAUAACCUACCUAUAAGACUGGGAUAACUUCGGGAAACCGGAGCUAAUACCGGAUAAUAUAUUGAACCGCAUGGUUCAAUAGUGAAAGACGGUUUUGCUGUCACUUAUAGAUGGAUCCGCGCUGCAUUAGCUAGUUGGUAAGGUAACGGCUUACCAAGGCAACGAUGCGUAGCCGACCUGAGGGGGUGAUCGGCCACACUGGAACUGAGACACGGUCCAGACUCCUACGGGAGGCAGCAGUAGGGAAUCUUCCGCAAUGGGCGAAAGCCUGACGGAGCAACGCCGCGUGAGUGAUGAAGGUCUUCGGAUCGUAAAACUCUGUUAUUAGGGAAGAACAAAUGUGUAAGUAACUAUGCACGUCUUGACGGUACCUAAUCAGAAAGCCACGGCUAACUACGUG
RNAcentral lists this ribosomal RNA (497 nucleotides) under uncultured bacterium. RNAcentral describes it as "partial 16S ribosomal RNA". It matches the Rfam family "Bacterial small subunit ribosomal RNA", at positions 28 to 507 of the family's 1533-position model. The record is from RNAcentral.